UAUGAGAAAAAAUAAGUGAAUAGAUUUUUGCUUCCUUAUUGUACGAGUCUUUAUGAACAUAUGUGUAAUAUCUCAAUAGUCCCACAUCGGAUGAAAAACGAUAUUAUGAUUGGAUAUGCAAGAGACCAUUGAUCAUAAUAAUAAUAACUGGGUUUAAGUAUUUUAGGCUAGUAGUUUGGGCUCAACGAAUAAUUAUUGCUAGCGGGUAAGGUUGGUACUUUUGAUAUCAGAGUCAAUUUAUUGGCCGAAAGUGUGAGGUGGGCCGCACAUCCUCUGGUGAUCUUAGACCGAAAGUGUGAGAUAGGUCUCACAUCGCUGGAUGAUUUUACGUUGCUUGUAUGAUAGAAUUGAUGAGGACAUCAGGACCUUUGAUUAGAUAUAUAACAAAUCACAGAUCCUAGUAAUAAUAAUUAGACCUGGAUAGAAACGGAGCUAUGAUUAAAUAUAUAAGAGAUUAUAGACCUUAAUAAUAAUAAUAAUUGAGUUAAAACAUUGUGGGCCGGUGGUUUGGGCCUAACGAAUUAUUAUUGUUAGAGGAUUUGGUCUUUACAUUUUGAGAU
RNAcentral lists this long non-coding RNA (560 nucleotides) under Ananas comosus (pineapple). RNAcentral's name for it is "long non-coding RNA (ACOM_LNC023133)". The record is from RNAcentral. Lineage: Eukaryota; Viridiplantae; Streptophyta; Magnoliopsida; Poales; Bromeliaceae.